Molecule: ribosomal RNA, 484 nt
Filed under: uncultured bacterium
Lineage: Bacteria
Description: bacterial SSU rRNA
Rfam family: Bacterial small subunit ribosomal RNA
Source: RNAcentral
UGGGGAAUCUUGGACAAUGGGGGCAACCCUGAUCCAGCCAUGCCGCGUGAGUGAUGAAGGCCUUAGGGUCGUAAAGCUCUUUCGCCUGUGAAGAUAAUGACGGUAGCAGGUAAAGAAACCCCGGCUAACUCCGUGCCAGCAGCCGCGGUAAUACGGAGGGGGUUAGCGUUGUUCGGAAUUACUGGGCGUAAAGCGCACGUAGGCGGACCAGAAAGUUGGGGGUGAAAUCCCGGGGGCUCAACCCCGGAACUGCCUCCAAAACUAUUGGUCUAGAGUUCGAGAGAGGUGAGUGGAAUUCCAAGUGUAGAGGUGAAAUUCGUAGAUAUUUGGAGGAACACCAGUGGCGAAGGCGGCUCACUGGCUCGAUACUGACGCUGAGGUGCGAAAGUGUGGGGAGCAAACAGGAUUAGAUACCCUGGGUAGUCCACACCGUAAAACGAUGGAAUGCCAGUCGUCGGGUAGCAUGCUAUUCGGUGACACACCU